GGAAGUAAAAGUCGAAACAAGGUCUCCGUAGGUGAACCUGCGGAGGGAUCAUUACAGAGUUCAUGCCCUACCGGGUAGAUCUCCCACCCUAUGUUAUUAUUACUUUGUUGCUUUGGCGGGCCGUUAGGCUCCGGCCCGACUACCGGCCCCGGCUGGUAAGCGCCCGCCAGAGGACCCAAAACCCUGAAUAUUAGUGUCGUCUGAGUACUAUAUAAUAGUUAAAACUUUCAACAACGGAUCUCUUGGUUCUG
RNAcentral lists this unclassified non-coding RNA (251 nucleotides) under plant metagenome. RNAcentral describes it as "partial contains small subunit ribosomal RNA, internal transcribed spacer 1, and 5.8S ribosomal RNA". The stretch from base 1 to 54 matches the Rfam family "Eukaryotic small subunit ribosomal RNA", at positions 1778 to 1831 of the family's 1831-position model. The record is from RNAcentral.